Molecule: ribosomal RNA, 578 nt
Filed under: Paenibacillus polymyxa
Lineage: Bacteria; Bacillati; Bacillota; Bacilli; Caryophanales; Paenibacillaceae
Also listed under: 1 other name
Description: bacterial LSU rRNA
Rfam family: Bacterial large subunit ribosomal RNA
Source: RNAcentral
AGUAGCGAAGGUCAUGAUCUCAGACUGCCAAGAAAAGCCUCUAGCCAGGAGAAGGUGCCCGUACCGCAAACCGACACAGGUAGGCGAGAAGAGAAUUCUAAGGCGCGCGGAAGAACUCUCGUUAAGGAACUCGGCAAAAUGACCCCGUAACUUCGGGAGAAGGGGUGCCUCGGUAGGGUGAAUAGCCCGAGGGGGCCGCAGUGAAAAGGCCCAAGCGACUGUUUAGCAAAAACACAGGUCUGUGCGAAGCCGCAAGGCGAAGUAUACGGGCUGACGCCUGCCCGGUGCUGGAAGGUUAAGGGGAGUGGUAAGCCUUCGGGCGAAGCUAUGAACCGAAGCCCCAGUAAACGGCGGCCGUAACUAUAACGGUCCUAAGGUAGCGAAAUUCCUUGUCAGGUAAAUUCUGACCCGCACGAAUGGCGUAACGACUUGGGCGCUGUCUCAACGAGAGAUCCGGUGAAAUUUUAAUACCUGUGAAGAUGCAGGUUACCCGCGACAAGACGGAAAGACCCCAUGGAGCUUUACUGCAGCUUGAUAUUGAAUUUGGGUACGAUCUGUACAGGAUAGGUGGGAGCCGU